CCUACGGGCGACAGCAGUGAGGAAUAUUGGUCAAUGGACGAGAGUCUGAACCAGCCAAGUAGCGUGAAGGAUGACUGCCCUAUGGGUUGUAAACUUCUUUUUUAAAGGAAUAAAACGAGGCACGUGUGCCUUUUUGCAUGUACUUUAUGAAUAAGGAUCGGCUAACUCCGUGCCAGCAGCCGCGGUAAUACGGAGGAUCCGAGCGUUAUCCGGAUUUAUGGGGUUUAAAGGGAGCGUAGAUGGGUUGUUAAGUCAGUUGGGAAAGUUUGCGGCUCAACCGUAAAAUUGCAAUUGAUACUGGCAGUCUUGAGUAAAGUUGAGGUAGGCGGAAUGCGGGGUGGAGCGGUGAAAUGCUUAGAGAUCACGAAGAACCCCGAUUGCGAAGGCAGCUUACAAAACUGUGACUGACAUUGAUGCUCGAAAGUGUGGGUAUCAAACAGGAUUAGAUACCCCAGUAGGC
This 460-nucleotide ribosomal RNA is filed under the name uncultured bacterium. RNAcentral's name for it is "partial 16S ribosomal RNA". It matches the Rfam family "Bacterial small subunit ribosomal RNA", at positions 338 to 795 of the family's 1533-position model. The record is from RNAcentral.